UGCUGCUGCUGCUCACAGACAGGUAGC
RNAcentral lists this non-coding RNA (27 nucleotides) under Homo sapiens (human). The record is from RNAcentral. Lineage: Eukaryota; Metazoa; Chordata; Mammalia; Primates; Hominidae.